UGCCAACCGGGUGUCUGCACUAAGUUCGGCAUCAAUAUGGUGACCUCCUGGGAGCAGGGGGCCACCAGGUUGCCUAAGGAUGAAUGAACUGGCCCAGAUCAGAAAGGGAGCAGGUCAGGACUCCCGCACCGACUGGUAGUGGGACUGUGCCUGGGCA
Molecule: signal recognition particle RNA, 157 nt
Filed under: Nomascus leucogenys (northern white-cheeked gibbon)
Lineage: Eukaryota; Metazoa; Chordata; Mammalia; Primates; Hylobatidae
Description: Metazoan signal recognition particle RNA
Rfam family: Metazoan signal recognition particle RNA
About the family: The signal recognition particle (SRP) is a universally conserved ribonucleoprotein. It is involved in the co-translational targeting of proteins to membranes. The eukaryotic SRP consists of a 300-nucleotide 7S RNA and six proteins: SRPs 72, 68, 54, 19, 14, and 9.
Source: Rfam by way of RNAcentral